This is a long non-coding RNA of Hydra vulgaris (swiftwater hydra), 287 nucleotides long. RefSeq lists it as uncharacterized. NCBI's taxonomy places the organism in Eukaryota, Metazoa, Cnidaria, Hydrozoa, Anthoathecata, Hydridae. The record is from RefSeq and is a predicted model, not a curated record.
GUCCACGAGUUGUGAUUUUUUGGAUAAAUAACGUAAGAUAUUUUUUGUAUAAGGUAUCUCAAGAAACUUCAUUGUCAAUAAACAAGGGUUAGCUAAUAUUAUCUUGGAGUAAAUGAGUUGUGAUUUAAUGAAGAAACAAAAGUAUUUUUUGGAACAAUAUGAUUAUCUAAUGUUAUCAUGAAGUCAACGAGUUGUGAUUUAUUGAAUAAACAAUAGAGUAAAGUAGAAGUUGCAUAUUCACAAGGUUUUUUUAAAUAUUUUUCUUUUGAAUUAUAUUUCUAAAAGUA